GCGGCCGGUCAGAGGCCUCGUCCUCCGGGGCUUCUCCCUGCCUAGGCGCUACACCCAGGCGCCUCCAACUGGGUCCUGGUCGCAGCCUCCGCAAGAGUGCUGCUUCCAGAAGCCCCACCGUGCAGGCCUCAGUGUGAAUUGGUUCAGUUCAGCAAACUUUUCUUUUAAAAAAUCACCAGGUACUCAGCCAUAAAAAGGAACAAAAUCUUGACCUUAGCCGCAACAUGGAUGCAGCUAGAGGCCAUGUCCUAAGCCAAUUAGCACCAGGAACAGAAAACCAGAUCCUGCAUGUUCUCACUUGCUGAAACUCCAAGCCAAGAGCACAAUAAAGUUUGAAGAGUUCUAUGCAGCAGUUUGGGGACAGGAACCCGUUCCCUCGGAAUUCUUGCUGGGUUUGACCCUUUUAACAGAAGGCGGGGACACUGAUGGCAGCCUCGCAGAUCCAUAUAAACCUCAACGGAGAAGCCCAAACAAGGGAGACACCUUUCUGCUUUUGACCUAACGAGUAAAUCACUGCAUGUCUUUUUCAAAAAAAGGAAUUGCAGGCUGAUUCUGAAUGUCCAGCAGCUUCUGUUGGAACUCAUAGGGCUAAAUGUCUUUCACAGACGGCUUUUAUCUCAGACACGGCUAUAGGCGUGACUUAUUGGUUAUUUCCCCUCUGCCUUCACACUGAUAAAUAAUAAAAUUCUAACAAUCAAAA
This 700-nucleotide long non-coding RNA is filed under the name Homo sapiens (human). Its description in RNAcentral is "novel transcript". The record is from RNAcentral. Lineage: Eukaryota; Metazoa; Chordata; Mammalia; Primates; Hominidae.